GAGACUUCCCGGAAACCUGAAGCCUAGCUCCAUUUGUCCCUAAGGGGAGACAGGAUUAAGAUCCUAUCCAGCCUCAGCCCCAUAGGGCAAGGAGAAAAUCUGUGGGCCCUGAAGCCGAAGGCAAGGCUCUGUCUUCCAGCAGCUUUCCACCCACCAAUAAACCCCCACGGGGUCCACCAGGAGCUGGCAGUGCACUUGGAGACCGGACAUAUGGUGACAAGAGCAAGGGUUUUCUCUCUUCCCAACAUCCUCCCAUCGCUCAGCCCAGUUCCCUGGGGUUCAAAGGGCUCAUGCCGCCAUUGGCACCUCCCCUGUUAGAAGGGAGACAGGAGGAGGUUCAGGGAAUACCCUAGAGGACAUCAAAAAGGACAGAGCUGGGCCAGGGCCAAUCCUCAACUGUUCAGGUCCCUGUAUUUUAGCCUGACCCUGACUCCUGACCCAUGUGUACUCUUGGUAUCAGAGGGUGACUCAAAUGGCUUUUGAGGCCACUCUGGGAUCUGCAUCCUGCAUCCCUCAUCAGGAUAACAUCCUACCCAAAUAGAUUGCCAGCUUUUUUCCUGAGUAGCCGGGGACCAUUUCAAAACAAAGAGAGGUAUUUUGUAUAAUGAAAAAAACACUGAGCAGAGUGGAGAGGAAGAGAGGUUGAACAUACAAGGAGGCCUUGCUGCCCAGGACAAAGACUCUGAGCCGGAAGAUGGAGCCAGAGCACAGGAACCCUUCGGAGUAGGACCUCUCUGCAGAAGGAGGGGAAGAAGGAGUCCAGCAGGCUCUGCAAGGUGGGUCCCAGGGGCUAGGAGGAGCAUACCAAGGGAUAGCAUGGUAAAUAUAGAGUUUGAGACAAAACUCAAUUUUCUGCUUUUGCCGAUGGGUGGGGUCUGUGUAAGUUGCAAGCUACCACAGCCAAGAAACCCCAUUUUAGCCUUAGCAGCUAAUCACAGCAAGGGAUGCCUGCUGGCCUCAUCUCCAAGGGUCUCAGCAGGCAAAGCCAGAUUCUCCACUACCAUGGAAGAGGAUGCUCCAGCUCUUAAUGGCAGACCCAGGAAGCUCACCACCAAUUUCUUUCUGUGUUCUUAUCUUGCAAAUUUGAAGAAUGAAUCCAAUCCGUGGGCAACAACAGAAGUCAAGAGUGAAAGAAAUAGGAUUCAUUUAAAUAGAAGAAACAGAUCUCUGGCAAGGUGACAGGGGGCCUGAAAGCAGUUUUUCCACUUAGAUAUAUUAGCCCAGGGGUUUAUAUGGCAAUUUGGGGGGUCAAAAUAAACACUCAGAGACUAAUCAGCUCUGUGGAUAGGGUAAGAAUUUUACUUCCAUGGGCAGAAGGGGUGCAUAGCCACCAAAGCCAAAAGCAGUCGCACUGAGCAAGCAAUCUGUUCAGCAUUUAUUGCUGACACAGGCACUGGGUUGUUGCCCACUGCUGGAGCUGACCUCACAAUCUUUGGCAUGAAUAGCUUUUGAGGAAAGAGGGUACUUAAUCAUUACCCUCUUACCAAUUUAAAAAACAAGCCAAUCUGUCUUUUCUGUCAACCCUACAGUGGUAGGGCCCACUGUACUAUUUCCUAUUGGAUUAUUUAAAGAAAUACCUUUUAGUUGUCCCCACCUCCCUUUGUUCCCUUGUGGUGGGAAAUUUCCCCUGGGGUGAGUGCCUCUGGGCAUGUGCACAGGUACUGGGGAAGUGAAGAGGGAGGGGAGUGAAGAUGUUUUAUAGACAGUUAUUGUAAGAAGAUGGCCUUCAGGAAGCAAGGGGAUUUAGAACAGAGCUUCUCUGGGUUGACAGAAAAGACAGAUUGGCUUGUUUUUUAAAUUAGUAGGAGCACUUAUUUAAAAAAAAACAAAGUAUGCUGCACUAGUAUUGGGAAAAUAUGAGUUCUCUUGGUUGCUCUUGAGUCUCAGGUCUGUCCUGCCUCCCUAUUUCCAUCAUCCUGCAACAAAUGAGUUGGCUGGAAUGUUUAGAGUGUUUCUACAGGUCAACCUCAUAGACUUUACAUUAAAAAAAAAAAAAAAAA
This is a non-coding RNA of Ictidomys tridecemlineatus (thirteen-lined ground squirrel), 2000 nucleotides long. The record is from RefSeq and is a predicted model, not a curated record. Lineage: Eukaryota; Metazoa; Chordata; Mammalia; Rodentia; Sciuridae.